This 253-nucleotide ribosomal RNA is filed under the name uncultured bacterium. RNAcentral describes it as "partial 16S ribosomal RNA". It matches the Rfam family "Bacterial small subunit ribosomal RNA", at positions 524 to 776 of the family's 1533-position model. The record is from RNAcentral.
UACGUAGGAGGCAAGCGUUAUCCGGAAUGACUGGGCGUAAAGGGUGCGUAGGUGGUUUGGCAAGUUAGUAGCGUAACCCCGGGGCUCAACCUCGGAACUACUACUAAAACUGUCGGACUUGAGUGCAGGAGGGGCAAUUGGAAUUCCUAGUGUAGCGGUGGAAUGCGUAGAUAUUAGGAGGAACACCAGUGGCGAAGGCGAAUUGCUGGACUGUAACUGACACUGAGGCACGAAAGCGUGGGUAUCGAACAGG